This 762-nucleotide small RNA is filed under the name Pongo abelii (Sumatran orangutan). RNAcentral describes it as "retained intron". Lineage: Eukaryota; Metazoa; Chordata; Mammalia; Primates; Hominidae. The record is from RNAcentral.
GUUUUGGCUCGAGGCCGCCAUCCUCCACAAUCGUCCCCCAUCUGCAGCUUCCCGCGGUCCUCAGCCCACAAAGAGAGGCCCUGGGCCGGGAAGGCGCAGAGCCCUGUCCAGCUGGAGCGCAACGGGCAGGCGGCUUCUGCAUUGAGCCCGGCGCCCGGCACUGUCCAGCCGGGCCUUCUCCGGCUCAGCGCAGCCGGCGGUCCCCAACCACACCCGCCGGGGCUUGGCGCCGCACUCUUCCCAGAAGGUUGCGCUGGCUCGUGAGUGAUCCUGUCCUCUCCACCCGCAGGGCCGCGUUCGCACCAAAACCGUGAAGAAGGCGGCCCGGGUCAUCAUAGAAAAGUACUACACGCGCCUGGGCAACGACUUCCACACGAACAAGCGCGUGUGCGAGGAGAUCGCCAUUAUCCCCAGCAAAAAGCUCCGCAACAAGAUAGCAGGCUAUGUCACGCAUCUGAUGAAGCGGAUUCAGAGAGGCCCAGUAAGAGGUAUCUCCAUCAAGCUGCAGGAGGAGGAGAGAGAAAGGAGAGACAAUUAUGUUCCUGAGGUAAACUUUCUGGAUAUUUGGGCUUCUUGCUGAUCCUCAAAUGAUAAAGCUGUGGGUUCUUGGCUUCCAAAAGGACCUCAGCUGAAUCUGAGACCUUUUAUCCAUACAUUCCAUAACCAGCUGUGGGUGCCCAUAGGCCCCCUACCAGUUUCUUAGCCUCCAUUCUGCUCUUCUGGAACCAGUUAAGUCUAUUCCAUAUUUCAUGAGAGCCCUUA